UACGGAGGGUGCGAGCGUUGUCCGGAAUCACUGGGCGUAAAGGGCGCGUAGGCGGCCUGAUAAGUAGGGGGUGAAAUCCUGCGGCUUAACCGCAGGGCUGCCUUCUAAACUGUCAGGCUUGAGCACAGUAGAGGCAGGUGGAAUUCCCGGUGUAGCGGUGGAAUGCGUAGAGAUCGGGAAGAACAUCAGUGGCGAAGGCGGCCUGCUGGGCUGUUGCUGACGCUGAGGCGCGAAAGCUAGGGGAGCAAACGGG
Molecule: ribosomal RNA, 253 nt
Filed under: uncultured bacterium
Lineage: Bacteria
Description: partial 16S ribosomal RNA
Rfam family: Bacterial small subunit ribosomal RNA
Source: RNAcentral